ACAUUCAGGAUUUUCUUCAUGUCGAAUAGAUCUUUCGCCUUUUACGAAAGAUUUCCUUUGAGGACCAUCAAGUGAAUUGUUACAAACUUGUGUGCUUCAGUGUGGGCUCCUCUGUU
Alosa alosa (allis shad) is the source of this 116-nucleotide small nuclear RNA. RefSeq annotates it as U5 spliceosomal RNA. The transcript has a single exon. The record is from RefSeq and is a predicted model, not a curated record. NCBI's taxonomy places the organism in Eukaryota, Metazoa, Chordata, Actinopteri, Clupeiformes, Clupeidae.